CCUACGGGCGGCAGCAGUGGGGGAUAUUGCACAAUGGGGGGAACCCUGAUGCAGCGACGCCGCGUGGGUGAAGAAGCGCCUCGGCGCGUAAAGCCCUGUCAGCAGGGAAGAAAAUGACGGUACCUGAAGAAGAAGCCCCGGCUAACUACGUGCCAGCCGCCGAGGGAAUACGUAGGGGGGAAGCGUUAUCCGGAUUUACUGGGUGUAAAGGGGGCGCAGACGGCGAUGCAAGCCAGGAGUGAAAGCCCGGGGCCCAACCCCGGGACUGCUCUUGGAACUGCGUGGCGGGAGUGCAGGAGGGGCAGGCGGAAUUCCUGGUGUAGGGGUGAAAGGCGUAGAGAUCAGGAGGAACACCGGUGGCGAAGGCGGCCUGCUGGACUGCAACUGACGUUGAGGCCCGAAAGCGUGGGGAGCAAACAGGAUUAGAUACCCUGGUAGUC
RNAcentral lists this ribosomal RNA (440 nucleotides) under uncultured bacterium. RNAcentral's name for it is "partial 16S ribosomal RNA". It matches the Rfam family "Bacterial small subunit ribosomal RNA", at positions 338 to 795 of the family's 1533-position model. The record is from RNAcentral.